CUUAAGCGUGUUACACUGUCAGUCACAGACAGACAAGACAUUACACAUUACACGUCGUCAUAAGUUACUUAAAAAGUUUAACAGCGGAGAUCUGGUAAUUUCAGCUGAAGUUUUCAUGUACCUGGCCAACUAGGUGCUCGUGACAAUAGAAAUGAAAUGGUCUAAUCCAAUAACAUUUGCAUGCCCCCAACCUUAUGUCUUCUGAACCAAAAUAAUUUCUGUUGCAAGUUGUAAAUUUUCAAGAUAUUGAUGCAUUCGCCAGAUCCCAUUCUUUGUUGCUAUCAGUUUUGCAGACAACAGCAAGAAAAUGCUGCUACUCAAGAUUUUAUGGUGACCAACACUUUGUUCUAAUUUAGGACAAUGUAAGGUUGAUAGAUUUGAGGUAAAUCCCUCUUCACCACUGUAAUAGUUGUUUGGAAACCGACAAGAGAUUGCUGGAAUUGAAGACUGAUAAUUUGUGUAGAUUUAGAUAAUUCUUUUCUGUCUUAUGAAAGCUUUUGGAGGGUCAUGGUCUAACCCGGAAACCUACUAUGACUAUACCUCGCCAGUAAAACUGGCCUUAUACUUCUCUCUUCUUCACUAUCCAGGUAAUCUCCUUGGGCACAGUUAGGGCAGUGUCACCUUCUGUCGUGAUUGAUUGCACUUCCAAGUUGGCAAAGUAUAGCGAUUUACAUUUACGGACAGUGAUUACUUCGUGCUCGCUGGACAUUCAAGAAAUUGCAAUACUUCUACCGCCAAAUAACUUUCUAGAUACUGUUCCUGCAUAGUGCUGGGAGUGAUGGACAAUUUGAAAAUAAUUUUUAAACGUUUGCAUUCCAUCGAUUUUGAUGCUGGUAUUAAUACAAAUUUUACAACAUUAUUUGCCAUGUACAUAUUUGUUACAUUAAA
Molecule: long non-coding RNA, 888 nt
Organism: Daphnia pulex (common water flea)
Lineage: Eukaryota; Metazoa; Arthropoda; Branchiopoda; Diplostraca; Daphniidae
Exons: 4
Source: RefSeq, a predicted model, not a curated record